This 253-nucleotide ribosomal RNA is filed under the name uncultured bacterium. RNAcentral describes it as "partial 16S ribosomal RNA". It matches the Rfam family "Bacterial small subunit ribosomal RNA", at positions 524 to 776 of the family's 1533-position model. The record is from RNAcentral.
UACAGAGGGGGCAAGCGUUGUUCGGAAUUACUGGGCGUAAAGGGCGCGUAGGCGGCCUUCUAAGUCGAACGUGAAAUCCCUGGGCUCAACCCAGGAACUGCGUCCGAUACUGGGAGGCUUGAAUCCGGGAGAGGGAUGCGGAAUUCCAGGUGUAGCGGUGAAAUGCGUAGAUAUCUGGAGGAACACCGGUGGCGAAGGCGGCAUCCUGGACCGGUAUUGACGCUGAUGCGCGAAAGCCAGGGGAGCAAACGGG